Molecule: ribosomal RNA, 498 nt
Filed under: uncultured bacterium
Lineage: Bacteria
Description: partial 16S ribosomal RNA
Rfam family: Bacterial small subunit ribosomal RNA
Source: RNAcentral
GACGAACGCUGGUGGCGUGCCUAAUACAUGCAAGUCGAGCGGACGGAUGGGAGCUUGCUCCCAGACCGUCAGCGGCGGACGGGUGAGUAACACGUGGGCAACCUGCCUGUAAGACUGGGAUAACUCCGGGAAACCGGGGCUAAUACCGGAUAACUCUUUCCCUCACAUGAGGGAAAGCUGAAAGAUGGCAUCUCGCUAUCACUUACAGAUGGGCCCGCGUCGCAUUAGCUAGUUGGUGAGGUAACGGCUCACCAAGGCGACGAUGCGUAGCCGACCUGAGAGGGUGAUAGGCCACACUGGGACUGAGACACGGCCCAGACUCCUACGGGAGGCAGCAGUAGGGAAUCUUCCGCAAUGGACGAAAGUCUGACGGAGCAACGCCGCGUGAGUGAUGAAGGUUUUCGGAUCGUAAAACUCUGUUGUCAGGGAAGAACAAGUACCGGAGUAACUGCCGGUACCUUGACGGUACCUGACCAGAAAGCCACGGCUAACUACGUG